This is a long non-coding RNA of Leptinotarsa decemlineata (Colorado potato beetle), 1076 nucleotides long. The record is from RefSeq and is a predicted model, not a curated record. NCBI's taxonomy places the organism in Eukaryota, Metazoa, Arthropoda, Insecta, Coleoptera, Chrysomelidae.
UGAUUGAUUUAUUUAACAACUUUCAGCUGGAUCAGAAGAACAACGUAUGUUGCAAUUGUGGCGAAAGCCUGAAAAAUAAAAAACAGGUACUCACUUGUUUAAGAAUACAGUGGUAGAGGAGAGCAAUUAUAACUAAGGAACCUAAACGGAAUAUAGUCCAAUGUAAGAUCGCAAAAACUUGUGCAGCAACUCUCCAGCUAAAGUGAACUCUCAUGAGGAAUGUGUAGUAAAACUGAAUCACUGCCGAUGAAACUGCAUGUGUGAAGAGCAGCAACGUGGGUAUUCCGAAGAUGUCGUUGAUGUCGAGGCAUACUGAACAAAGCUUAUUGUGAAUGGCGUGAAUCGUUUCAAUAGAUUCUACAUGUUUUUCAACUGAAACAAAAAAAAAAAAUAAGACGUAGAUUUGCAAAGCUGGUAUUCACCGGCGCAGCGUUGUUCUUGAGGAUUUCAGUAUUGUAGUAAAGAGAUUCUAAUGAGUUAUGGGUUCGUAUUACUGAGGUCAAUUUCUCAACUUAUCGAGGACAUUAUAAUGCCACGAAGCUAUACUAUAUUCGUUGCUGAACUGAACUACUGGAUUGAGAUUGAUGUGAAAGUUAUGACGACAACGCCGGAGAGACUAAUGCCCGUAUUCGCCGUAGAGCGAAGCUUAAGGGGUAAGCUCGCUUAACGCUUCAGUUUUGUAUGCAUCGUAUCAACAAAUGCCUUUAAGUUCGCUUAAAUGUAAGCGGACAAAUUCGGUAGCUUUAUACGUGAAGGCAAGCUUAUGUAUACAUCAUAACCUCACUUAUUAUUCUUUAGUUUUGGAAAUAAUGCAAGUGUUUUGCUGGAAUGUUUCAGUAAACGGACUUGUGAAAUUAAAAUCAGUUGUUGCAGAAUGAUGGAACUAGAAGAUGAAAUCAUGCUGGAAGUCGAUAACGGCAUCUUACAUGUCAUUGAUUUUGGUUUUCCACGAAGAAUUUUUAGAAGGCCCAACUAUUUCGAGGAGAUGGAUGAUGCUAACAACACUAUUUGUGCUGGAGCUCAUAGAAAAUGCUUUAGAAUUCGAAAACGAUUUGUAAAAAAUACAUUCAAUUGUU